RNAcentral lists this ribosomal RNA (329 nucleotides) under bacterium ocnta22lb834offp11.19. Its description in RNAcentral is "bacterial SSU rRNA". It matches the Rfam family "Bacterial small subunit ribosomal RNA", at positions 49 to 379 of the family's 1533-position model. The record is from RNAcentral.
CUACACAUGCAGGCGAGCGGUAGAGAGAAAGGCUUGCUUCUCUUGAGAGCGGCGGACGGGUGAGUAAUGCCUAGGAAUCUGCCUAGUGGUGGGGGAUAACGUUCGGAAACGGACGCUAAUACCGCAUACGUCCUACGGGAGAAAGCGGGGGACCUUCGGGCCUCGCGCCAUUAGAUGAGCCUAGGUCGGAUUAGCUAGUUGGUGAGGUAAUGGCUCACCAAGGCUACGAUCCGUAACUGGUCUGAGAGGAUGAUCAGUCACACUGGAACUGAGACACGGUCCAGACUCCUACGGGAGGCAGCAGUGGGGAAUAUUGGACAAUGGGCGAA